This 63-nucleotide transfer RNA is filed under the name Branchinotogluma japonicus. RNAcentral describes it as "tRNA-Trp". Lineage: Eukaryota; Metazoa; Annelida; Polychaeta; Phyllodocida; Polynoidae. The record is from RNAcentral.
AAGAUUUUAAGUUAAUUAAACUAAGGGUCUUCAAAACCCUAAAUGGGAAAAACCCAAAUCUUG